RNAcentral lists this long non-coding RNA (454 nucleotides) under Homo sapiens (human). RNAcentral describes it as "non-protein coding lnc-DLK1-35:133". The record is from RNAcentral. Lineage: Eukaryota; Metazoa; Chordata; Mammalia; Primates; Hominidae.
GGUUGAUGUUCAUGGGUGAUUGAUCAUCCUGUAGCGACGGUGGUAUUGACUGUUCCCCAGAGGACAAGGAGUGUGUUCUUAUAGGUAGAUAAAUGGCCACAUACCUAAAGAAAAUCAAAGGGGACAAAAAGUGAGAGUCUGUUAUAAACUAAGGAUUAUAAUUAAUGUAAUUCAGUACAACUGUGGACAAUUUUGAAAAGAUAAAGAUUGAUGUCAUUUUAGUCAUUUUAUAGAUAAACUAAAAAUGGGACAUUUUUAAUAUCCCAUUUUAGCAUUUUUCAUAGUUUACACAAACGUUCCUAUAUUGCUAGAUAGCCUAGUCUGUGAACUCCCUGAGGAAGGAGCACAUGUGAAGUAAAUACUUGUCAUUAUCAUAGUGGGUUCAAGUGGAAUAUUCUUCCGGCUUAUUGUUACAUCUUCAUAGACUAUAUAAUUUAAACAAAACGGUUCAAGC